AUUGAACGCUGGCGGCAGGCUUAACACAUGCAAGUCGAGCGGGGUGAUGGUGCUUGCACUAUCACUUAGCGGCGGACGGGUGAGUAAUGCUUAGGAAUCUGCCUAUUAGUGGGGGACAACAUCUCGAAAGGGAUGCUAAUACCGCAUACGUCCUACGGGAGAAAGCAGGGGAUCACUUGUGACCUUGCGCUAAUAGAUGAGCCUAAGUCGGAUUAGCUAGUUGGUGGGGUAAAGGCCUACCAAGGCGACGAUCUGUAGCGGGUCUGAGAGGAUGAUCCGCCACACUGGGACUGAGACACGGCCCAGACUCCGACGGGAGGUAGCAGUGGGGAAUAUUGGACAAUGGGGGGAACCCUGAUCCAGCCAUGCCGCGUGUGUGAAGAAGGCCUUAUGGUUGUAAAGCACUUUAAGCGAGGAGGAGGCUCUUUUGGUUAAUACCCAAGAUGAGUGGACGUUACUCGCAGAAUAAGCACCGGCUAACUCUGUGCCAGCCGCCGCGGUAA
RNAcentral lists this ribosomal RNA (503 nucleotides) under uncultured bacterium. RNAcentral describes it as "partial 16S ribosomal RNA". It matches the Rfam family "Bacterial small subunit ribosomal RNA", at positions 30 to 523 of the family's 1533-position model. The record is from RNAcentral.